GUAUAGACCCGAAACCAGGCGAUCUAUCCAUGAGCAGGUUGAAGGUUGGGUAACACUAACUGGAGGACCGAACCCACUGUCGUUGAAAAGCCAGGGGAUGACUUGUGGAUAGGGGUGAAAGGCUAAUCAAGCCUGGUGAUAGCUGGUUCUCCCCGAAAGCUAUUUAGGUAGCGCCUCGGACGAAUACCAUAGGGGGUAGAGCACUGUUUCGGCUAGGGGGUCAUCCCGACUUACCAAACCGAUGCAAACUCCGAAUACCUAUGAGUACUAUCCGGGAGACAGACUGCGGGUGCUAACGUCCGUAGUCAAGAGGAAAACAAUCCAGACCGCCAGCUAAGGCCCCAAAAUCAUAGUUAAGUGGGAAACGAUGUGGGAAGGCAUAGACAGCUAGGAGGUUGGCUUAGAAGCAGCCACCCUUUAAAGAAAGCGUAAUAGCUCACUAGUCGAGUCGGCCUGCGCGGAAGAUGUAACGGGGCUAAAACUAUGUGCCGAAGCUGCGGAUGUAUACUUUGUAUACGUGGUAGGGGAGCGUUCUGUAAGCCGAUGAAGGUGUGUUGAGAAGCAUGCUGGAGGUAUCAGAAGUGCGAAUGCUGACGUGAGUAACGACAAAACGGGUGAAAAACCCGUUCGCCGAAAGACCAAGGGUUCCAGUCCAACGUUAAUCGGGGCUGGGUGAGUCGACCCCUAAGGCGAGGCCGAAAGGCGUAGUCGAUGGGAAAAUGGUUAAUAUUCCAUUACUUCUGUGUAAUGCGAUGAGAGGACGGAGAAGGCUAAAUCAGCCUGGCGUUGGUUGUCCAGGUGAAAGGAUGUAGGCAUGUAUCUUAGGCAAAUCCGGGGUACUCUAUGCUGAGAUCUGAUAGCAAGCUGUACUUGUACAGCGAAGUGGUUGAUGCCAUGCUUCCAGGAAAAGUCUCUAAGCUUCAGUUACACAGGAAUCGUACCCGAAACCGACACAGGUGGUCAGGUCGAGUAGACCAAGGCGCUUGAGAGAACUCUGCUGAAGGAACUAGGCAAAAUGGUACCGUAACUUCGGGAGAAGGUACGCUGUUGUUGGUGAUGGAACUCGCUUCCUGAGCUGACGACAGCCGCAGAAACCAGGCCGCUGCAACUGUUUAUUAAAAACAUAGCACUCUGCAAACACGAAAGUGGACGUAUAGGGUGUGAUGCCUGCCCGGUGCUGGAAGGUUAAUUGAUGGGGUUAGCGUAAGCGAAGCUCUUGAUCGAAGCCCCAGUAAACGGCGGCCGUAACUAUAACGGUCCUAAGGUAGCGAAAUUCCUUGUCGGGUAAGUUCCGACCUGCACGAAUGGCAUAAUGAUGGCGGCGCUGUCUCCAGCAGAGGCUCAGUGAAAUCGAAAUCGCUGUGAAGAUGCAGUGUACCCGCGGCUAGACGGAAAGACCCCGUGAACCUUUACUGCAGCUUGACACUGAACUUUGACCUUACUUGUGUAGGAUAGGUGGGAGGCUUUGAAGCUGGAACGCUAGUUCCAGUGGAGCCGUCCUUGAAAUACCACCCUGGUAAUGUUGAGGUUCUAACUCUGUCCCGUGAUCCGGGACGAGGACCGUGUCUGGUGGGUAGUUUGACUGGGGCGGUCUCCUCCUAAAGAGUAACGGAGGAGUACGAAGGUGCGCUCAGCGUGGUCGGAAAUCACGCGUAGAGUAUAAAGGCAAAAGCGCGCUUAACUGCGAGACCCACAAGUCGAGCAGGUACGAAAGUAGGUCUUAGUGAUCCGGUGGUUCUGUAUGGAAGGGCCAUCGCUCAACGGAUAAAAGGUACUCUGGGGAUAACAGGCUGAUACCGCCCAAGAGUUCAUAUCGACGGCGGUGUUUGGCACCUCGAUGUCGGCUCAUCUCAUCCUGGGGCUGAAGCAGGUCCCAAGGGUAUGGCUGUUCGCCAUUUAAAGAGGUACGCGAGCUGGGUUUAGAACGUCGUGAGACAGUUCGGUCCCUAUCUACCGUGGGCGCUGGAAAUUUGAGAGGAUCUGCUCCUAGUACGAGAGGACCAGAGUGGACGAACCUCUGGUGUACCGGUUGUGACGCCAGUCGCAUCGCCGGGUAGCUAUGUUCGGAAGGGAUAACCGCUGAAAGCAUCUAAGCGGGAAGCCUACCUCAAGAUAAGAUUUCCCUAGGACUUUAUGUCCUCUAAAGAGCCGUUCGAGACUAGGACGUUGAUAGGUUGGAUGUGGAAGCAUAGUGAUAUGUGAAGCUGACCAAUACUAAUUGCUCGUGAGGCUUGACUAU
Molecule: ribosomal RNA, 2239 nt
Filed under: Acinetobacter baumannii 6013113
Lineage: Bacteria; Pseudomonadati; Pseudomonadota; Gammaproteobacteria; Moraxellales; Moraxellaceae
Description: bacterial LSU rRNA
Rfam family: Bacterial large subunit ribosomal RNA
Source: RNAcentral